CGGUAGCUUACACAUGCAAGUCGUGCGAGAAAGUUCUUCGGAUAUGAGUAGAGCGGCGGACGGGUGAGUAACGCGUAGGAAUCUACCUAGUAGAAGGGGAUAGCCCGGGGAAACCCGGAUUAAUACCGUAUACCUCCUUCGGGAGAAAGAAGGCCUCUCUUUGAAGCUUUCGCUAUUAGAUGAGCCUGCGUAAGAUUAGCUUGUUGGUGAGGUAAAGGCUCACCAAGGCGACGAUCUUUAGCUGGUCUGAGAGGACGAUCAGCCACAUUGGGACUGAGACACGGCCCAGACUCCUACGGGAGGCAGCAGUGGGGAAUAUUGGACAAUGGGCGCAAGCCUGAUCCAGCCAUACCGCGUGUGUGAAGAAGGCCUUCGGGUUGUAAAGCACUUUAAGCAGGGAGAAAAAGUUAUAAGUUAAUACCUUAUAACCGUGAUGUUACCUGCAGAAUAAGCACCGGCUAAUUCCGUGCCAGCAGCCGCGGUAAUACGGAAGGUGCAAGCGUUAAUCGGAAUUACUGGGCGUAAAGCGCGCGUANGUGGUUUGUUUAGUUGGAUGUGAAAGCC
This 564-nucleotide ribosomal RNA is filed under the name uncultured bacterium. Its description in RNAcentral is "bacterial SSU rRNA". It matches the Rfam family "Bacterial small subunit ribosomal RNA", at positions 40 to 602 of the family's 1533-position model. The record is from RNAcentral.